This 75-nucleotide transfer RNA is filed under the name Patescibacteria group bacterium. RNAcentral's name for it is "tRNA-Arg". It matches the Rfam family "tRNA". From Rfam's summary of the family: Transfer RNA (tRNA) molecules are approximately 80 nucleotides in length. Their secondary structure includes four short double-helical elements and three loops (D, anti-codon, and T loops). Further hydrogen bonds mediate the characteristic L-shaped molecular structure. tRNAs have two regions of fundamental functional importance: the anti-codon, which is responsible for specific mRNA codon recognition, and the 3' end, to which the tRNAs corresponding amino acid is attached (by aminoacyl-tRNA synthetases). tRNAs cope with the degeneracy of the genetic code in two manners: having more than one tRNA (with a specific anti-codon) for a particular amino acid; and 'wobble' base-pairing, i.e. permitting non-standard base-pairing at the 3rd anti-codon position. The record is from RNAcentral.
GCUCCCGUAGUUCAAUGGACAGAACGUAGGAUUCCGGAUCCUAAAGUGUAGGUUCGAUUCCUACCGGGAGUACCA